AACGCACCUUGCGCCUUUUGGUAUUCCGAAAGGCAUGCCUGUUUGAGUGUCAUGAAAUCUCAAUCCCCUCGGGUUUUUGACCCGAUCGGAUUUGGACUUGGGUGUCUGCCAGCUAAUGGCUCACCUUAAAAGACUUAGUGGGAUAAGCGCCCAUGGCUAAGACGUAAUAAGUUUCGUCUGGCUUGGUGUGAUGCCUGCUCAUAACAAACCAUAUCUUUUGACUCUGACCUCAAAUCAGGUAGGGCUACCCGCUGAACUUAA
RNAcentral lists this unclassified non-coding RNA (261 nucleotides) under uncultured fungus. RNAcentral describes it as "partial contains 5.8S ribosomal RNA, internal transcribed spacer 2, and large subunit ribosomal RNA". The stretch from base 1 to 52 matches the Rfam family "5.8S ribosomal RNA", at positions 103 to 154 of the family's 154-position model. The record is from RNAcentral. Lineage: Eukaryota; Fungi.